UGUAAACCCGGAGUGUUUCGAAACUAGAAUCCGCGUCGUCCGUCCAUCAGCCGUGCGAUGGCGAGCCGCUUCCUCUCCGCCGGAAUCAGACGUUUUGUGUUCGGUGCACGAACUCUGUGUAGCUCCGAAGCUUCUCGCGCUUCUGCGUUCCCUAUGCCGUUCGCGCGAAAAUUCAAAUUCUCUAAGCAGAGCCCAUUGCCGGCGCUUCAAAAUUGGGUGGACCAAGGCAACGAUGUUUCACCCUUCCAGCUAAGAAGCAUCGCCAGAACCCUCGUCAAAUCGAAACUCUACCACCACGCCCUCGAGGUAUUUGAAUGGAUAAAAAACCAGAAGAAUUUCCAUAUGAUCCCAGCUGAUCAUGCUAUGAAAUUGGAGUUAAUCAUUGAAAAUCAUGGUCUAAUGGAAGCUGAAGAAUAUUUUAUGAAUCUACCGGACUCAGCUGCAAAGAAGGCUGCAUGUCUCAUACUUUUACGUGGCUAUGUAAGAGAUAGGGACACUAGUAAAGCCGAGACUUUCAUGCUGAAGCUCUAUGAACUGGGGCUAGUGGUGAGCCCUCACCCUUUUAAUGAGAUGAUGAAACUAUAUCUAGUAACAUGUGAGUACAGGAAGGUACCCCUUGUUAUCCAGCAAAUGAAGCGAAAUAAAAUACCCUGCAAUGUUCUGUCCUACAACCUUUGGAUGAAUGCUUGUAGUGAGGAAGAAGGAUAUGUGGUUGCAGCAGUGGAGACAGUUUUCAGACAAAUGCUAAAUGACAGGAAUGUUGAAGUGGGAUGGGGCAGUCUUGCUACAUUAGCCAAUGCUUAUAAGAAAGCAGGACAAUCUAAGAAGGCCAUUCUGGUUCUCAAAGAUGCUGAAAAGAAACUAUCUACUUGUAACCGUCUUGGUCACUUCUUCCUCAUAACACUAUAUGCUUCUUUGAAGGAUAAGGAAGGAGUCUUGCGGUUAUGGGAAGCUAGUAAGGCAGUUCGUGGAAGAAUCAGUUGUGCCAACUACAUUUGUAUACUAACAUGCUUGGUGAAGCUUGGGGACAUUGUACAAGCCAAGAGAAUCUUCUUAGAAUGGGAAUCUAAUUGUCAGAAGUACGAUAUCAGAGUCUCUAAUGUUCUUUUGGGUGCAUAUGUCCGGAAUGGAUUAAUGGAAGAAGCUGAAUCAUUACAUCUUCACACAUUGCAGAAGGGUGGUUGUCCAAACUAUAAGACGUUGGAAAUUCUUAUGGAAGGAUAUGUGAAUUGGCAAAAAAUGGAUGAGGCUAUUAUUACCAUGAAAAGAGCUUUGGCUAUGAUGAAAGAUUGCCAUUGGAGGCCGCCGCAUGGAAUUGUGUUAGCCAUUGCAGAGUAUUUGGAGAAAGAUGGGAAUCUUGAAUAUGCAGACAAGUAUAUUACAGAUAUCCAUAAUUUAGGUCUUGUUAGUUUAUCAUUGUAUAAAGUAUUGCUUAGAAUGCACCUUUCUGCCAACAAACCACCUUUCCAUAUCCUUAAAAUGAUGGAUGAAGAUAAAGUUGAGAUUGAUAACGAGACACUUUCCAUUCUUAAAGCUUUCACUGAGUAGCUGAAGUGUUUAGAGGUGAAGCAGUAACCUGGAACUCAAUUUUAUUCUUAGCUUUCUUAACAUGACCAGCUAUUAACUAACAAUGCCUUACUAGUGUGGCUGGCUCACUUGUUUCCGGUUAAAACAAGUGGAGCACAAACAGUAACGGGAAUCAACCGGUGCUGAAAGAUUUUGUGGGAUCUGAAUCAGAAGAUUUUCAGUCCAACCCAUAAGUUUCAUCAAUUCAUUAAUCAGUUCCAGCAUAUUGGCGAGUAAUUUCUCCCCUUCAAUAUUACAAGAAACGAUAAUUUCCUUGCAGUUCAUGAUAGGUCGUUGGCCAUGAGCUCAGGUACGUGUCUAUUUAUGGCAAUACUUUUAUUGUUGUAUCAUACACACAUAUCAAGCAUUAACUAAGCAUCACAUAUUGCAUGAUAUGGGUGAGGCAAAGCCUUUCAAGUGGAUGAAGAUGUCAAGAGCUUGUGGAAGGCCUUGUUGUGGUUAAGCAGUUUGUCACGAGGCGACAUGCAUUCGUUGAUAACAGGAAGCUCAAGAAAAUUAUCGAACCAAGCAUCAAGCUUAGCCAUCAACUCUUCAUUAAUGAGGUUUACGCCCACAAUUUCCUCCACUAUUCGUACCCAGUAUCCAAGCCAACCAAUAGCAAUAUCAGAUUCUCUCUAGCUUCUUGUGCUGCCUUCUUUUGUUCCUCCCCUCCUUUGGAAAAGGUAGCCAUAACAGCUGGCACACACAGAAUAAGAAAAGGUCGAGUGUUAGUUACUUGUGUUCAAUAAAGCACUUAAUAACAUGCUGUGUUCUAAUUUUUUACUACCUUUUCAUCAACGAAUUCGGACCAGAAUCGCAUUGGCCUUUUCAUAGGGAUCAUGUGGAAGAAGGGAGGGAUCUUGCUUCCAGGUCUCAUCAAUAUACUCAAGAAUCACUAGUGAUUCUGCCAGGGGCUUACCGUCAUGCACGAGAGCCGGUAGCUUCUUGUGGACAGGGUUAUACUGUAGGAGCAUGGCACUCUUGUUGCCGAGAUCUUCCACAUAUUGGUACUGAAUCCCUUUUAGUUCAAGAACCCACUUGACCCUGAGGACAAAAGGACUACCCCAGAAUUAAAAACCAAACACUUGCACAGUUCUCUCAUUCUCGUGGCUUAUACUUGCACACGCGUUGAAGGAUCUUCUGUUGAUCUGAGGGGAAAAAAAGUCAUCCCAAUGAGCCUGAAAUAGUCAAAUGUUCUAAUCGUAAACGGAAAGUAGAUAUUUUGAAUAAAAGACGGACUAAGGAUCCAAUCAUGUAGGUGCAAUAAUGAAAAAUAAAACAAUAGAAUGCAAAUAAAAAGGAGAAAAAAAGAUUAUAUAUUGAAAA
Glycine soja is the source of this 2892-nucleotide RNA transcript. It is a transcript of the gene named pentatricopeptide repeat-containing protein At5g27460-like, with no coding region annotated. The transcript has 7 exons. Lineage: Eukaryota; Viridiplantae; Streptophyta; Magnoliopsida; Fabales; Fabaceae. The record is from RefSeq and is a predicted model, not a curated record.